GAUGAACGCUGACAGAAUGCUUAACACGUGCAAGUCAUUGGCGAAGCUGCGCUUGCGCAGUCUAGCCAAGGCGGACGGGUGAGUAACGCGUAAGGAACUUGCCCUGCAGACAGGGAUAACAGACGGAAACGACUGAUAACACCUGGUAUUGUCAGGCUGGCGCAUGCCGGCCUGAUGAAAGGAGACGCUGCAGGAGAGCCUUGCGUCCUAUUAGCUAGUUGGUGGGGUAACGGCCCACCAAGGCGAUGAUAGGUAGCCGGCCUGAGAGGGUGAACGGCCACAAGGGGACUGAGAUACGGCCCUUACUCCUACGGGAGGCAGCAGUGGGGAAUAUUGGACAAUGGGGGCAACCCUGAUCCAGCAAUUCUGUGUGCACGAAGAAGGUUUUCGGAUUGUAAAGUGCUUUCAGCAGGGAAGAAGAAAGUGACGGUACCUGCAGAAGAAGCGACGGCUAAAUACGUG
RNAcentral lists this ribosomal RNA (462 nucleotides) under uncultured bacterium. RNAcentral's name for it is "partial 16S ribosomal RNA". It matches the Rfam family "Bacterial small subunit ribosomal RNA", at positions 28 to 507 of the family's 1533-position model. The record is from RNAcentral.